ACCUGGUUGGCUCAGUGGUUGAGCAUCUGCUUUUGGCUCAGGUUGUGAUCCUGGGGUCGAAGGAUCCAGUCCUGCAUCAGGCU
This 83-nucleotide transfer RNA is filed under the name Canis lupus familiaris (dog). It matches the Rfam family "tRNA". Rfam says of the family: Transfer RNA (tRNA) molecules are approximately 80 nucleotides in length. Their secondary structure includes four short double-helical elements and three loops (D, anti-codon, and T loops). Further hydrogen bonds mediate the characteristic L-shaped molecular structure. tRNAs have two regions of fundamental functional importance: the anti-codon, which is responsible for specific mRNA codon recognition, and the 3' end, to which the tRNAs corresponding amino acid is attached (by aminoacyl-tRNA synthetases). tRNAs cope with the degeneracy of the genetic code in two manners: having more than one tRNA (with a specific anti-codon) for a particular amino acid; and 'wobble' base-pairing, i.e. permitting non-standard base-pairing at the 3rd anti-codon position. RNAcentral also lists the same sequence under 1 other name. Lineage: Eukaryota; Metazoa; Chordata; Mammalia; Carnivora; Canidae. The record is from Rfam by way of RNAcentral.